CCUACGGGAGGCAGCAGUAGGGAAUCUUCCGCAAUGGACGAAAGUCUGACGGAGCAACGCCGCGUGAGUGAUGAAGGCUUUCGGGUCGUAAAACUCUGUUGUUAGGGAAGAACAAGUGCUAGUUGAAUAAGCUGGCACCUUGACGGUACCUAACCAGAAAGCCACGGCUAACUACGUGCCAGCAGCCGCAGUAAUACGUAGGUGGCAAGCGUUAUCCGGAAUUAUUGGGCGUAAAGCGCGCGCAGGUGGUUUCUUAAGUCUGAUGUGAAAGCCCACGGCUCAACCGUGGAGGGUCAUUGGAAACUGGGAGACUUGAGUGCAGAAGAGGAAAGUGGAAUUCCAUGUGUAGCGGUGAAAUGCGUAGAGAUAUGGAGGAACACCAGUGGCGAAGGCGACUUUCUGGUCUGUAACUGACACUGAGGCGCGAAAGCGUGGGGAGCAAACAGGAUUAGAUACCCUGGUAGUCCACGCCGUAAACGAUGAGUGCUAAGUGUUAGAGGGUUUCCGCCCUUUAGUGCUGAAGUUAACGCAUUAAGCACUCCGCCUGGGGAGUACGGCCGCAAGGCUGAAACUCAAAGGAAUUGACGGA
Molecule: ribosomal RNA, 589 nt
Filed under: uncultured bacterium
Lineage: Bacteria
Description: bacterial SSU rRNA
Rfam family: Bacterial small subunit ribosomal RNA
Source: RNAcentral